UGGCCUACGGGUGGCUGCAGUGGGGAAUAUUGGACAAUGGGCGAAAGCCUGAUCCAGCAAUGCCGCGUGAGUGAUGAAGGCCUUAGGGUUGUAAAGCUCUUUUACCAGGGAUGAUAAUGACAGUACCUGGAGAAUAAGCUCCGGCUAACUCCGUGCCAGCAGCCGCGGUAAUACGGAGGGAGCUAGCGUUGUUCGGAAUUACUGGGCGUAAAGCGCACGUAGGCGGCGAUUCAAGUCAGAGGUGAAAGCCCGGGGCUCAACCCCGGAACUGCCUUUGAAACUAGAUUGCUAGAAUCCUGGAGAGGCGAGUGGAAUUCCGAGUGUAGAGGUGAAAUUCGUAGAUAUUCGGAAGAACACCAGUGGCGAAGGCGACACGCUGGACAGGUAUUGACGCUGAGGUGCGAAAGCGUGGGGAGCAAACAGGAUUAGAUACCCCAGUAGUC
This 443-nucleotide ribosomal RNA is filed under the name uncultured Erythrobacteraceae bacterium. RNAcentral's name for it is "bacterial SSU rRNA". It matches the Rfam family "Bacterial small subunit ribosomal RNA", at positions 335 to 795 of the family's 1533-position model. Lineage: Bacteria; Pseudomonadati; Pseudomonadota; Alphaproteobacteria; Sphingomonadales; Erythrobacteraceae. The record is from RNAcentral.